GACGAACGCUGGCGGCGUGCUUAACACAUGCAAGUCGAACGGAAAGGCCCUGCUUUUGUGGGGUGCUCGAGUGGCGAACGGGUGAGUAACACGUGAGUAACCUGCCCUUGACUUUGGGAUAACUUCAGGAAACUGGGGCUAAUACCGGAUAGGAGCUCCUGCUGCAUGGUGGGGGCUGGAAAGUUUCGGCGGUUGGGGAUGGACUCGCGGCUUAUCAGCUUGUUGGUGGGGUAGUGGCUUACCAAGGCUUUGACGGGUAGCCGGCCUGAGAGGGUGACCGGCCACAUUGGGACUGAGAUACGGCCCAGACUCCUACGGGAGGCAGCAGUGGGGAAUAUUGCACAAUGGGCGGAAGCCUGAUGCAGCAACGCCGCGUGCGGGAUGACGGCCUUCGGGUUGUAAACCGCUUUCGCCUGUGACGAAGCGUGAGUGACGGUAAUGGGUAAAGAAGCACCGGCUAACUGCGUG
Molecule: ribosomal RNA, 468 nt
Filed under: uncultured bacterium
Lineage: Bacteria
Description: partial 16S ribosomal RNA
Rfam family: Bacterial small subunit ribosomal RNA
Source: RNAcentral